UGACAUUUGGCACUCAGGCUUUACGUACUUAAAAUGUAUCCUCUCAAGUUGAAUCAUUGCCAGAGGACAUGAGACUAGUUAACGUAUCCAUUUUACAGAAAUAGAAACUGAGACUCAGAGCGGAGGCGACUAGUCUGUCGACACUCAGCUAAAGGAGCAGCUACAGCCUGGAUUCCAACUCCUGUCUGACCACAUCCAGAGUAUUUCCUUUGAUUUGUGGAACACUCGGGAUUCACGGGGUCCCACUGGGAGCCUGUGGAGGGUGCAAGGGAAUCAUGGUUGUCAUAGCUAUUCCCUUACAAGAGUGACAACGGAGAGGAGAACAUUGCAGUUGGCCAUUUGUGAAGCAUCAGGCUGCCUCCCUAUUGCUUCAAAGUGUCCUCAGGCUUUGUUGGGCUGAGAUAAAUGCAGGGGCUUUCUGCAGAGGAAACCCGUCAAAGGAGAAUUGGUUUCUGAGGAAUUAAUUGGAAUUCCCUCAGCAUCAGCCUGAACAUUGUUCAUCCCCAGUGGAUUAUCAUUAA
RNAcentral lists this long non-coding RNA (521 nucleotides) under Felis catus (domestic cat). RNAcentral describes it as "lncRNA (ENSFCAG00000049262.1)". The record is from RNAcentral. Lineage: Eukaryota; Metazoa; Chordata; Mammalia; Carnivora; Felidae.